UACGGGGGGGGCAAGCGUUGUUCGGAAUUACUGGGCGUAAAGGGCUCGUAGGCGGCCAACUAAGUCGGACGUGAAAUCCCCAGGCUCAACCUGGGAACUGCGUCCGAUACUGGAUGGCUUGAAUUCAGGAGAGGGAUGCAGAAUUCCAGGUGUAGCGGUGAAAUGCGUAGAUAUCUGGAGGAAUACCGGUGGCGAAGGCGGCAUCCUGGACCGACAUUGACGCUGAUGAGCGAAAGCUAGGGGAGCAAACGGG
RNAcentral lists this ribosomal RNA (253 nucleotides) under uncultured bacterium. RNAcentral's name for it is "partial 16S ribosomal RNA". It matches the Rfam family "Bacterial small subunit ribosomal RNA", at positions 524 to 776 of the family's 1533-position model. The record is from RNAcentral.